UCAAUUGUAGUUAAAUGGUAGAACAUUAUCUUUAUUGAUAAAAGCGCAGGUUCGAGUCCUGUCAGUUGGU
Molecule: transfer RNA, 70 nt
Filed under: Parabacteroides merdae
Lineage: Bacteria; Pseudomonadati; Bacteroidota; Bacteroidia; Bacteroidales; Tannerellaceae
Description: tRNA-OTHER
Rfam family: tRNA
About the family: Transfer RNA (tRNA) molecules are approximately 80 nucleotides in length. Their secondary structure includes four short double-helical elements and three loops (D, anti-codon, and T loops). Further hydrogen bonds mediate the characteristic L-shaped molecular structure. tRNAs have two regions of fundamental functional importance: the anti-codon, which is responsible for specific mRNA codon recognition, and the 3' end, to which the tRNAs corresponding amino acid is attached (by aminoacyl-tRNA synthetases). tRNAs cope with the degeneracy of the genetic code in two manners: having more than one tRNA (with a specific anti-codon) for a particular amino acid; and 'wobble' base-pairing, i.e. permitting non-standard base-pairing at the 3rd anti-codon position.
Source: RNAcentral